Molecule: non-coding RNA, 2983 nt
Organism: Danio rerio (zebrafish)
Lineage: Eukaryota; Metazoa; Chordata; Actinopteri; Cypriniformes; Danionidae
Source: RefSeq, a predicted model, not a curated record
GAAAGUUCUGUAGACAUGUAUUCACUCUUUACUUGUUUCAAAACUAACUAGUUUUCUUUUUUUAAAUAAAAACCGACAUUUUUAAGAAAGCUGGGAAUCUGUAACCUUUGAAAGAGAUGUGUGCACAAUUUCCAAGACAAAAUCCUGCCCCAACCAGGCAAUGAAUCUUCUGCCCGCUGAAUAAAACGAGAAAUGAAGGUAAGGAGCAGGUUGCCCUCUCAAGUGUCACCUUUGAGGACAGAAACACUGAAGGUAAAUACAUACAUUUGUUACAUUAUGAAAUUCAAUUUGCACGUACAUAAAAAAAAUAGUAAUACAGCAUGUUUUGGUCGAUGUGCCCCUCUUUAGAUCAAGAUUCUUUAAUAGAUUGUUCUUUGAGUCAUGAACUUCAGAAAAUUGAGCAGAACGUCCAGCUCCAAUUCCAUUUCCAGCAAGACAUCCAGCUCCAGCAGCCCGUCCAGCUUCAAUUCCAGCAGCCUGCCCUUGAUGAUCAGCAGGAUCAACAUCUGGCUCAAGACUUCAACAGUAUAUUGACCUUUAUAUGUAUUUUGUCAACAAUGUUCAUGCUAUGUUCCAACAUCAUAAUAUGUGUUAGCUAUCUACCGGUACUUAAUGUUUUAUAGAAGCCUUUUUUCCUAAAUCGAGUUGUGGAGACAUGUGAAAUAACCCUAAGGAAAGUUGUUCCUAAUACAUAUGGAAAUAUUCCUUUUUAUAUGUUCACUAAUGAUAACUCCAAUUACUUUACUUUUUGUAGGUGACAUUUUGGGCUGCUAUAAAAUUGUACAAAAGCUUGGUAAGGGAGGACACGGCACAGUCUUCAAAGCGAUUUGCUUGAUGGACGGUCUUGAGGAACUACAUUUUUACUCACUACAUCUUAGCUAAAUGUUUCUCUCACUGCCUGUUCAGGUCCUUUUAUUGUGUCACGUUACAUUGAAAACGUUUAAUAAAUGUGACUAAUUCACCAACAUUACAAUUGUUGUGUUUUGUUAAUCAGGUGGCAUUGAAGGUUGUUUUGAAGAGGAACAAUAUGGAUUAUCUCAGCAUUGUAGUUCUCUUGAUUUUAGUUCAAGAUAUGUUAAUUAUAGCCAAAAAAAGAAUUUUCAAACAUCACUGACAACAAAUUUCUAUCUUCUACAGCCUGGUCAUCCUACUCCCCUUUCAUUAGAAGUUGCACUAACAAUACUUGCUAACGAAGGAUUCCUCAGAUCAUCCAGAUGCUGGAGUGGCAGGAGCUGCCAGACUCUUACAUCAUGGUUUUGGAGCACCCCUCACCCUGCAAAGACCUUUUUGACUUCCUGGAGCACUAUGAAGGAACCCUCAGUGAAGACGUGGCACGGUACAUCAUGUGGCAGGUAGUGCAGGCUGCCCACAUGUGCUGUCAAAGAGGAAUCCUCCAUCGCGACAUUAAAUUAGACAACCUGCUAAUCAACAAGGACACCUAUGAAGUCAAGCUUAUUGACUUUGGGUGCGGUGACAUCCUAAAAACAUCAGCCUGAUUCUGUGGAAAAGAAAUGUACAGCCCUUCUGAGUAUCAAUCAACAGGCGGAUACUACAGCAAAUCUGCAACCAUUUGGUCACUGAAGAUCCUUUUAUUUGAACUGCUGUGCAGAAAGCCUCCAGAAAACAUUGACCUGGACAUGACCCAUGCAUGGCUGUAGUCAAAAUUUGGAUUGUCAAAUGAGUGCUGCAACCUGGUUCAGCCUUGCCUGCAGAGUAGCUGGAUGCCAAAUGCCAGACUGAUUCGUUUUUUUAUUUUUCAUUUUGACUACAUUUUAGUCUUAUAAUUUGUGCAAGGACCUUCAAAAAGUCUUUGGUCUAAAACUGCCAAACACUGAGCUGCCAUUCUCCAUAUUCCAAAAGGUUCUUGUGACCACAAAAAGUUCAGCACAUCACUUUCAAAGGUUCUCAGUUAGAUUAGCAUUUUGCUGACUGACAUGCCUUGCAAGUUUCCUGCCAAGUAACAAGACAUUUAUGCCAAUACCUAUGGUUCCUUUACCCAGCUGCCUCAGUUGCAAAUGUUUUGGACAAAGCUGUACUAAAGGGUCCUUCAGUUUCUGUCAUUAUUCAAAGGAGGGAUGUUACCUCAGGCCACAAAAUCCGGGGCCUUCUCUUCAUGAAACUCUAGCAAAGCAUUGUUUCACAACCACCAUUGUGUCUGUAAUGGCUUGCUGAGAAGAAGCUCCUGCCCUGUCCUCAUCCGAGAGAUCUGUCAAGACUUACAGAUCCUGACAAAAACCUCUUAGGAAAGCUCAUCUCCCAAUUCCUAACAUGCUGUAUAGAGGGAGCCUCUUGAGCAUGUUGAGCAGCUGAAUCAACUGAACUAUUUCAAAACACACACAAUUAUUUAAAGAAACUUUGUUUACAGAUUCUGAAGUAUUAUGUUUAUGCUUCUAUCUCUUCUUUUGAAUUGUUUGAUGCACUCUCUGUGGUGCACUGUUUGCACCAGGUUGCAUUAUGCACUUUACAUGGCCAGACCAUUUUAUUCCUCAAUCCUUGGUUCUGUGGGUUUUUGAUUUGUUUAUGUAUCUCUGCUUUGUGUAGUUGUGUGUGUGUUUUUAUGUGGCAUCUAGAUUAGCAUGGUCUCAUUUCACUGUGUACUGUUGAAAUGACAAUAAAAGCUCUUUGAAUUUGAACUUGCUCAUCUCACUAUCUAAGCCUUCUUGGUUUUAAAACUGUACAUGUUGCUAGGUUGUUUAAUAAACUAAGACAAAAACCAUAACCACAGUGAAAAGAGCUUAGGAUGAGCUGCAGUGGGUACCGACCUCAUGGAUCAGACCAACUGACCAGUCCUAAUAUCAACAGAUACGAAGAGAAGAGCUCAGCCAUACUACAUGACUGCAGAUGGAUUUCAAUAUUUGCAUCAAUAUGGAAAACUGUUUUUUCAAUAGAGACAGGAAUGUGUGUUUUUUCUGUAAAAUUGAUACAAAAGUUUCUGUUUGGACAUUGUGUUUGCCCAUGUGAAAAAUAAAAUAAUAAAACGUAA